ACUAUAUUACUGGAUCUCGAUAAGAUGAUAGUCUGUCUUGCUUGACAAAGAUCUUCAAAAUCUUUGACCUCAAAUCAGGUAGGAAUACCCGCUGAACUUAAGCAUAUCAAUAAGCGGAGGAAAAGAAACCAACAGGGAUUGCCUUAGUAGCGGCGAGUGAAGCGGCAAAAGCUCAAAUUUGAAAUCUGGGGUCUUCGACCUCCGAGUUGUAAUUUGAAGAAAGUAUCUUUGGAAAUGGCCUUUUCCUAAGUUCCUUGGAACAGGACUUCAUAGAGGGUGAGAAUCCCGUAUGGAGAGGUGACUAUUUCUAUGUAAAGUGCUUUCGACGAGUCGAGUUGUUUGGGAAUGCAGCUCUAAGUGGGUGGUAAAUUCCAUCUAAAGCUAAAUAUUGGCGAGAGACCGAUAGCGAACAAGUACAGUGAUGGAAAGAUGAAAAGAACUUUGAAAAGAGAGUGAAAAAGUACGUGAAAUUGUUAAAAGGGAAGGGCUUCAGAUCAGACUUGAUGUUUUGUGAUCCAUCAUCCUUUUUGGUUGGUGCACGCACUUUUCAUUGGGCCAACAUCGAUUUGAGUGGUAGGAUAAUGCCAUUGGAAUGUAGCUUCAUUCGUGAAGUGUUAUAGACUUUGGUGAUACUGCCCAUUCGGAUCGAGGACUGCGUCUUUGACUAG
Molecule: ribosomal RNA, 668 nt
Filed under: Sporopachydermia lactativora
Lineage: Eukaryota; Fungi; Ascomycota; Sporopachydermiomycetes; Sporopachydermiales; Sporopachydermiaceae
Description: LSU rRNA
Rfam family: Eukaryotic large subunit ribosomal RNA
Source: RNAcentral